Pelobates cultripes (western spadefoot toad) is the source of this 284-nucleotide non-coding RNA. The record is from the annotation of a GenBank genome assembly. NCBI's taxonomy places the organism in Eukaryota, Metazoa, Chordata, Amphibia, Anura, Pelobatidae.
GUUUUCAUUUAGAUGUCAGUUACCAUAGACAUAGUUUAUUUCUUGUAAUCUAAUCUAGCAUUGCUAAUGGUCAAGUAGUAAUAACAUGUCACACUCAGUGCACAGGUGUCUGAAGGGACACCUGUGCGAAACUAAGGCUUUCAUGAAGUUUGGCCUGAAAAAACUGAAAACAGGUUUGAUAAGUAUAGACGUCGGUAAUGGAUUCCAGUGUGAGUUAAAAACUUAGAUUAACUCCUACUUUACUACUAAACUACAGUAACACAGUACUCUGCUUACACUUUAAC